Molecule: long non-coding RNA, 3608 nt
Organism: Fundulus heteroclitus (mummichog)
Lineage: Eukaryota; Metazoa; Chordata; Actinopteri; Cyprinodontiformes; Fundulidae
Exons: 2
Source: RefSeq, a predicted model, not a curated record
GACGGUGUUGACCGGAAACGAGGCAUGCUGUCGCUGAGAGCGGCGGUGCAGGACAGCAAUGCCAGACUUUGCGCCUGACGGUGACGGCCCGGCCUCUGCUAGACAGGACAGUUCACGGCAGCAGCGCCAGCAGCACGACGGAUGUUGACCACCAUCCACAUCUGAGCGGCGGCGAGCGGCGGUGCCGACGAGCGGCUGGUGAGGCGGCAGGUCGGCUGCAGGCGGCACUCUCGAUGGUCUCCCCCACCGUGAAGGCGGUGGUGGAUGCCGUGUGGGCGGUGUGGAGCAUCGGCGCCUCCAUCUAUGACUACAUCCACACCAACGCCAUGGAGGAGCGCAUCCACGCCCUGGAGAACGUCAUAACCGUCCACCAGUGUGUGAUCGGCCUCCUGUCCGCCGGCGUGCUGGCGCUCUUCACCUACAUCCUCUUCAAGAAGCUCUGACGUGACUUGGCAAGAGGAAAAACUGAUGGCGAGUAAUGAUAGAGCCAAGCGGUAGGGGGCUAGGAGGGUUAUGGUGGAGGGUUAUGGUGGAGGGUUAUGGUGGAGGGUACGCGGCGGUUUUCCAUGAUGAACGCCAUUUACUAUGUUAGAAGGAAGGAGACUGUAAAAUAAUGGCACCCACACAGGAAGAUGCUUUUUGAUUGUUUUAUCAUUGGAGGAUUUUAAUUUUUUUUGGGGGGGUGGGCAGCAAUCAAUGUUGUCUUUUCACUGUCCUGGUAUUUUUGGAAGGUCUGACUAAUUAGUUUUUUUCCCCCACUUUGAUUUCAUGAUAAAGCUUAAAAUGCUUCUCCAAACUUACAGGGGAGGCAAACUCACAAUACUGUCCUUACUUUUUGCCUUAAUCAAUUAUUUAUUUAUAUAUAUAUAUAUAUAUAUAUAAAAUCAAUUUAAUAAAACAGGCUUAAACUGUUUACUUGUAUACAACCAACAACAUAUUCCUCAGGAUUUGGUGAAAAUGUCACCUAGGGGGACAUCUCCCUUUGAGCUCCUGCUGACAAGAUAAUGAGUCAGCCUAAUGGGAAACAUUACGUCUAAGAGCAUAAUGGACUUUUACCAACACGUUUAGUUUCUGAAAACUGUUUGUUCACCUUUAAUCCAAAGACAUGUUUUUUUUUUUUUUUAACCAGUUUGAUUCAUGACAUUUAACAUUUCUUCUGGACAGUUAGACCAGCAGCUGCUCUGUCACAGUACAAGAGAUCGUACAGUUUUUAGAGUCUUACCCAUAAAUAUUUUCACAUUUGUUCAUGUCACAAACAGGUGCAUUUUAUUGGGCUUUUAUGCAAUAAACCAACACAAAGUAGAGGAUAAUUGUGCAGUGGGAGGAAGGAAAGGGUUACAGCUUUGUUUUCCUCCAUCUUCCCAGUGCCGGCUGCAGAAACGCAUCCCCUCAGCAUGAUGCUGCCGCGACCGUCUUGCUGCAGUUAAGUGUUUCAGCAAACUAAUGAAACAAAGCGAUGCUAAGCUUGGCCUUGUUUUUCUCCAGUGGGUGGUAUCAGGCCAUUUUACUGCUUUUGUAACAUCUGGACUAACUUUAGUCAACUGUAUUUCAAACUCCAAAGGAGCCUUGAGUUUUGAAAGACAGUCAGGCAUAAUGUAACACACUGACUGGUCAAAUGUUAAAAUCAAGGUUUGAUGACAGUAUAUCAAUUUACCUGCUGCAUUUACUGAGCAGUGGCAGAGGAGGGGAAAAAAAUGUUCCUCAUCUCCAGUCUGUUUUAAUUUUUUUCUGUACCUAUCCAGACCUGAAACGUGAUAAAAGUAAUGCUAAACCUUUCCAGACCACCUGCUAAUUUAACUGAUGUCAGCAGGUUUUACUGCCUGAGCUGUAGGUCUAUGCAGCUCCUCCAGAGCCACUAUCCUCCUGAAUCUAGUGCCCUCAGAAGGCCGUUGGGUGCACUGGAUUUUAUUUUACUAGUGUAAAGGGGGCUGAAUAUAAAUACCAGCAACACUUCACACUUUUAAAAAACUCUUCCACUUUACAACUAUGCUCUACUUUAUGUUGGUCAACUGCUUAUAAUCCCAAUAAAAUAUCUUGGAAGUUUAAGGUUUUAAAAUGACCAAAUGUGACUACUUCUGCAAAGCGUGUUACAUUACGUCUCAUAUCUGCUCCUAAAUGUCGAGGAGGGAACACAGACCAUCAACUGUUGUGAUGUAAGAGUAAGGUUUAACAUGUCUAGACUAUUAAGCUCUGUUGAAUGUACUUUUUUUUCCUCUCCAUUAACAUUGUAUACCUCAUAACCAAAAUUGUAGGUGCCACUGCUGUUAAAUUAAGCCACUAAUGUUAAGUGUCCUUAAAACCUGUAAUUAGUCAUAGAGGUUUGUGGUCAUUUUGUUUCAUACAUGAUGAUUGGUACUUUUGAACAGCUUCAGAACACAUUUUCUACCGUGAAAGUUUGCAAUGUCAAUGCACAUAUUUGUAGUGAAGGCAAGCAGGCUAUAUGUGCUGGUGUUUUAGAGCAGGGGUUCCCAAAGUGGGGGUCUGGACCCUCCCUCCCUCCCUUAAGGGGGCCUCGAGAUGACUUGAUGCUGAUGUGCUAAAAAGGUUUAUUUCCUGCAUUUUUUGGUAAGAGCUCUUAUAAAAAUUCAACUCUAUUCUUGUAAUAUUAUGACCUCACCCACCCCCAAAAAAUUGGGUCACCAGUCUCCGCUGCAGUUAUUUUGUGGUUUGCAAGCUCACAAGUUUGGGAACCCCUGUUUUAGAAGGAACAAACAAACAAACAAAAAAAACUCAGCUGGAACAUUGUUUUAAUACAGCCUUAAUUGUCUGUGUUGUCCAAAAGCCAAACCUGAAAGUGACUGAACCAAACGUUCUGCCCACAUCCGUCUGUUUGGUGAAACAGCAGCUCUGACUUCUAUACGCUAUAAAUCACAGACCCAAAUAAUUCAUCCGAGAACGUUUCCUACAACAUGACCUGAAACAACAAACUUUCUGAACUAAAAUGCUCAAUUUAAAACGAUGCGAAUCAAUUCAGUGUAACUCUUACAUCUGGAAUGGCAUGUAAACCACUUAAAUCCUAAAUGAUACUGUGGACCUGUUGAAAAGUUCACAAAAAGUCCAUUAGCAGGUUGGUUGUGGUGGAAAAAUCUUUUCAUUUAUUUUAGCUAAAGGCCAAUAAAGUCAAUAUUCAGAAAUAUCUGUAAAAGUUAAAUGCAAUGGUUCUCUUAGGUAAUUAUUAGUACAUCAGUUAAACACGUGUGCCGUCAUGGUCGUUCCACGUUAGGCUGCGUCCUCCAGGUUCCUCUCACAAGUGUCCGGUCUGAAGCAGAGCGUAUUUGGACACGAAUCGCUCCACGCUCUCCCCCUCCAGGAACUUCAUGGCUCUCCAGUGGAUCUUUCCGCAGUUUUCCGGCCGGCCGAGCGGCCCCAUCUCCUCCUGGAUGUACUGCAGCCACAGGUCUGGACAACAGAGAAUGUUACAUUUUAAAUACAACAGCGUCGUGGGAGCAGUUCUCGACCUUGUGUGAAAUCUUAAAAAAAAAAAAAACAGCUUAGCGGAGUCUGAACGUUGAAAUAGACUUUAGUUUUGUAGAGAUAGUAGAUAUUUUAAUGAAUUCUCAUCUGCCUCUGCUUAAUGUCAAGCUGUAAAUAAACCUUUUUAACUAUCA